Molecule: ribosomal RNA, 420 nt
Filed under: Chloroflexota bacterium
Lineage: Bacteria; Bacillati; Chloroflexota
Description: Chloroflexi bacterium partial 16S ribosomal RNA
Rfam family: Bacterial small subunit ribosomal RNA
Source: RNAcentral
UGGGGAAUAUUGCACAAUGGGCGAAAGCCUGAUGCAGCGACGCCGCGUGGGGGAUGAAGGCUUUCGGGUUGUAAACCUCUUUCGCUAUCGAACAAGGCCCGCUUAGGGUGGGUUGAGGGUAGGUGGAGAAGAAGCGCCGGCUAACUACGUGCCAGCAGCCGCGGUAAUACGUAGGGCGCGAGCGCUGUCCGGAAUUAUUGGGCGUAAAGGGCUUGUAGGCGGCUUGUUGCGCCUGCUGUGAAAACGCGGGGCUUAACUUCGCGCGUGCAGUGGGUACGGGCAGGCUUGAGUGUGGUAGGGGUGACUGGAAUUCCAGGUGUAGCGGUGGAAUGCGCAGAUAUCUGGAGGAACACCGAUGGCGAAGGCAGGUCACUGGGCCAUUACUGACGCUGAGGAGCGAAAGCAUGGGUAGCGAACAGG